Molecule: ribosomal RNA, 497 nt
Filed under: uncultured bacterium
Lineage: Bacteria
Description: partial 16S ribosomal RNA
Rfam family: Bacterial small subunit ribosomal RNA
Source: RNAcentral
GAUGAACGCUGGCGGCGUGCCUAAUACAUGCAAGUCGAGCGAACGGACGAGAAGCUUGCUUCUCUGAUGUUAGCGGCGGACGGGUGAGUAACACGUGGAUAACCUACCUAUAAGACUGGGAUAACUUCGGGAAACCGGAGCUAAUACCGGAUGAUAUUUUGAACCGCAUGGUUCAAAAGUGAAAGACGGUCUUGCUGUCACUUAUAGAUGGAUCCGCGCUGCAUUAGCUAGUUGGUAAGGUAAUGGCUUACCAAGGCAACGAUGCAUAGCCGACCUGAGAGGGUGAUCGGCCACACUGGAACUGAGACACGGUCCAGACUCCUACGGGAGGCAGCAGUAGGGAAUCUUCCGCAAUGGGCGAAAGCCUGACGGAGCAACGCCGCGUGAGUGAUGAAGGUCUUCGGAUCGUAAAACUCUGUUAUUAGGGAAGAGCAUAUGUGUAAGUAACUGUGCACAUCUUGACGGUACCUAAUCAGAAAGCCACGGCUAACUACGUG